This 557-nucleotide ribosomal RNA is filed under the name Boana geographica (map treefrog). RNAcentral's name for it is "LSU rRNA". It matches the Rfam family "Bacterial large subunit ribosomal RNA", at positions 1819 to 2597 of the family's 2925-position model. Lineage: Eukaryota; Metazoa; Chordata; Amphibia; Anura; Hylidae. The record is from RNAcentral.
CGCCUCUUGAGUUCAAUAAGAGGUCCAGCCUGCCCAGUGAAAUUAUUCAACGGCCGCGGUAUCCUAACCGUGCGAAGGUAGCGUAAUCACUUGUUCUUUAAAUGAGGACUAGUAUGAAUGGCAUCACGAGGGUUUUACUGUCUCCUUUUUUAAAUCAGUGAAACUAAUCUCCCCGUGAAGAAGCGGGGAUUUUGUUAUAAGACGAGAAGACCCUAUGGAGCUUAAAACAAACAACAUUUGCUGCACAUAACACUUUUAUCUUCAAGAAGUAUAGCAUUAUGAUUUUUAGUUUUUGAUUGGGGUGAUCACGGAGCAAAAUAAAACCUCCACGCCGAAAGGGUUUUUACCCUGAGCAAAAAGCUACAGCUUUAAACACUAAAAAAUUAACGUAUUUGACCCAAUAUUUUGAUCAACGAACCAAGUUACCCUAGGGAUAACAGCGCAAUCCACUUCAAGAGCUCCUAUCGACAAGUGGGUUUACGACCUCGAUGUUGGAUCAGGGUGUCCUAGUGGUGCAGCCGCUACUAAUGGUUCGUUUGUUCAACGAUUAAAACCCU